RNAcentral lists this ribosomal RNA (684 nucleotides) under Escherichia coli. RNAcentral's name for it is "partial 23S ribosomal RNA". It matches the Rfam family "Bacterial large subunit ribosomal RNA", at positions 614 to 1298 of the family's 2925-position model. The record is from RNAcentral. Lineage: Bacteria; Pseudomonadati; Pseudomonadota; Gammaproteobacteria; Enterobacterales; Enterobacteriaceae.
AAUGGGUCAGCGACUUAUAUUCUGUAGCAAGGUUAACCGAAUAGGGGAGCCGAAGGGAAACCGAGUCUUAACUGGGCGUUAAGUUGCAGGGUAUAGACCCGAAACCCGGUGAUCUAGCCAUGGGCAGGUUGAAGGUUGGGUAACACUAACUGGAGGACCGAACCGACUAAUGUUGAAAAAUUAGCGGAUGACUUGUGGCUGGGGGUGAAAGGCCAAUCAAACCGGGAGAUAGCUGGUUCUCCCCGAAAGCUAUUUAGGUAGCGCCUCGUGAAUUCAUCUCCGGGGGUAGAGCACUGUUUCGGCAAGGGGGUCAUCCCGACUUACCAACCCGAUGCAAACUGCGAAUACCGGAGAAUGUUAUCACGGGAGACACACGGCGGGUGCUAACGUCCGUCGUGAAGAGGGAAACAACCCAGACCGCCAGCUAAGGUCCCAAAGUCAUGGUUAAGUGGGAAACGAUGUGGGAAGGCCCAGACAGCCAGGAUGUUGGCUUAGAAGCAGCCAUCAUUUAAAGAAAGCGUAAUAGCUCACUGGUCGAGUCGGCCUGCGCGGAAGAUGUAACGGGGCUAAACCAUGCACCGAAGCUGCGGCAGCGACACUAUGUGUUGUUGGGUAGGGGAGCGUUCUGUAAGCCUGCGAAGGUGUACUGUGAGGUAUGCUGGAGGUAUCAGAAGUGCGAAUGCU